AGAGUUUGAUCAUGGCUCAGGACGAACGCUGGCGGCGUGCUUAACACAUGCAAGUCGAACGGAAGCGCUUUUCGGAGUGACUCGAGUGGCGAACGGGUGAGUAACACGUGGGUGAUCUGCCCUGCACUUUGGGAUAAGCCUGGGAAACUGGGUCUAAUACCGGAUAGGACUACGAAUCGCAUGGCUUGUGGUGGAAAGCUUUUGCGGUGUGGGAUGGGCCCGCGGCCUAUCAGCUUGUUGGUGGGGUGAUGGCCUACCAAGGCGACGACGGGUAGCCGGCCUGAGAGGGUGUCCGGCCACACUGGGACUGAGAUACGGCCCAGACUCCUACGGGAGGCAGCAGUGGGGAAUAUUGCACAAUGGGCGCAAGCCUGAUGCAGCGACGCCGCGUGAGGGAUGACGGCCUUCGGGUUGUAAACCUCUUUCAACAGGGACGAAGCGUAAGUGACGGUACCUGUAGAAGAAGCACCGGCCAACUACGUGCCAGCAGCCGCGGUA
This 498-nucleotide ribosomal RNA is filed under the name uncultured Actinomycetes bacterium. RNAcentral's name for it is "bacterial SSU rRNA". It matches the Rfam family "Bacterial small subunit ribosomal RNA", at positions 8 to 522 of the family's 1533-position model. The record is from RNAcentral. Lineage: Bacteria; Bacillati; Actinomycetota; Actinomycetes.